RNAcentral lists this ribosomal RNA (1227 nucleotides) under Triticum aestivum (bread wheat). RNAcentral's name for it is "partial small subunit ribosomal RNA". Lineage: Eukaryota; Viridiplantae; Streptophyta; Magnoliopsida; Poales; Poaceae. The record is from RNAcentral.
AUGGCCCCUCCGAUGGUUCUGCUCGACCGCGAGGUUGAGUUGUGCGACGAGGAGGCGGGGAUCUACGAAGGGCCAGUCCGCUGCUCGUGGGGACUACCAGCAAGAAGCUCAGCCGAGGGCCCGGGAAAGUUGAUUCAUGCAGUCGCGGAGUACCUGCAGACAUUCAAAGCCCAGCCGCUCGUCGCCGAUCCGCCGGAACUCUCCUCCCUCAACAUACGGCCGCCGAAAUCCGCCCCGGUCCCGCCGACAGCCGGCCUGGAAUCGGGCCGCAUCUCCAGCGCAGACAAGCACCUGGUCGCCCUCUACGCCGGAGGCUACCGCCCUGGCUACAGCUUGCCGGGGGGCUAUCUCAUCUACGACGCCAGCAACGACUCCAUCUCCGCCAUCCCUUGCAUCCCCCCCGGCACCUGCAGGACUACAGCCAUGGGGUUCCAGUCGGCCGUCGUCAUGUGCGGCGCCACCGGGGAAGGCGGUUACCUUCUUGCUGAGCUCGUCUGGGUCUGUACACAAGACUCCCAAGCCGCGCUCUGGCUGUGGGAGUCGUCCGCCAAACAAUGGGACGUCAAGCUCAGGGACCUGCCCCUUCCACCCGGCACCACCGCCUUCAACUUCUCCGUCCACUCGUGCUUCUCUUUUGGGGGCUCUUUCCUCUGCUGGGUGGAUCUACACCGUGGCAUGUUGCUCUGUGAUCUGCGCAAGGACUGCAACUUCAGCUUCAUUGAGUUGCCCCAAGGACCUCCAGACUAUGAUGCCUCCGAUUAUCCACACGGCCCCUGCGCUGAGGAGUUCCGUUCCGUGGCCUGUGUUCAUGGCUCCGUCAAGUUCCUCGCCUUCAAUACAUUUGUUGAACGCGAGCCCGGCGAAACAUUUGGACUGGCCGUCUGGACUCUGUCGCCUGACCACUCAGCGUGGAGCAGAAGCUACAAGUGCAGCUUUGGAGACAUCUGGGCUAACGCCAACUUCCAGUCUGCUGGUUUGGGACAGCUUUCUCCGUCGUUCCCUGUCCUGAGCAUCCAUCAAGACGGCGUCGUCUACCUAGUCGUAAAUGAUACCAGUGCGGUGGGUCGUCGACUAGUGUUCAACGCCCGGUACUUGCUUCGUGUCGACAUGGGGAGUAACAACGAUGUCCAGGUCUAUCAACAGAAGACGACGCGUAUUCGUUCCCAGCUCUUUGCAAGUGAGUUCAGUGCGCACCGACGACAGGAGCACCCGAGAGAUGGAAUCUAG